GGUGAAUUUAAUCCCAGGAAGUCUGGCUCCCAAAUCCUGUACUCUUAGCCACUAGGCCACACUCUCUAUAUUAAAGGCACAAAGCAAGCCAAGAGCAGUGUGUAGAGUGUGCUGUCAUUUGUGUGAACAAAACAGGAUGACUAGGGAGAGAAUUUUUUUAAA
Lontra canadensis (Northern American river otter) is the source of this 162-nucleotide long non-coding RNA. RefSeq lists it as uncharacterized. NCBI's taxonomy places the organism in Eukaryota, Metazoa, Chordata, Mammalia, Carnivora, Mustelidae. The record is from RefSeq and is a predicted model, not a curated record. The transcript has 3 exons.